UUUAGUAAUUGCGAAUGAACAAGGAUAUGCUUAGCUUGACAAAUGGAGCUAUUGGCUUUGAAUUGUAUUGUGGAAAUGUAUUACCAACAGAGGUGCAGGUGCCAGCCUAUUGAAAUAAAGCGUCAAUGAGGGUGAGAAUCCUGUUUGUCAUGUGCAGCCCUUUGUGCACGGUGUAUAUUUGCUGAGUCACACUCCUUGGCAUUGGAAUGCAAAGUGGGUGGUAAGUUUCAUGUAAAGGUAAACAUGCAAUUGAGACUGAUAGCACACAAGUACCAUGAGGGAAAUAUGAAAAGGACUUUGAAAAGAGAAUUAAAUGAGUUUGUAUUUGCUGAACACAAAGUAAACAGACUUGAUUUGCUUGGUGGGAGUGUUGCACUUGCUUGACAAGAGCUUUGGGCUGUGGGUGUAAUGAUUCUUUCUUUGCAUGCCAGUUUCUAUUUGUACAUCUGAUUACCUUUGCACAUGAAUGAUAAGUCUCCUGUGGGGGGUGGAUUGCAUGUGCAUGUAAUGAUUUGUGUUUUGAUAAAUGUGUCUGGUGUAUGUGUGUGUUCCUGUGCUUGGGGAUGCUUCCUUCCUUGGACUUACAAGCCCUGACACACACAUGCUGGCAAAAUGCUUCUGCUUGACCCGUCUUGAAACACGGACCAAGGAGUCUAACAGAUGUGCAAAGUUUGAAGGUGGUAUACCUUUGUGUGCAAUGAAAGUGUCAGCUGGGAUAUGUGCACCAGCACCCAAUUAAUUAGCGGACAGAGGUUUGAGUUGGAGCAUAUCUAUUAGGACCCGAAAGAUGGUGAACUAUGCCUGAACAGAAUGAAUUCAGAGGAAACUCUGAUGGAGGUUCGUAUCGAUACUGACGUGCAAAUCGUUCGUCAUAUUUGGGUAUAGGGGCGAAAGACUAAUCGAACCAUCUAGUAGCUGGUUCCCUCCGAAGUUUCCCUCAGGAUAGCUGGAGUUGCUCAGUUUUAUCAGGUAAAGCGAAUGAUUAAGGAAUUGGGGACAGGUUUGUCUUUGACCUAUUCUCAAACUUU
This 1028-nucleotide ribosomal RNA is filed under the name Alexandrium catenella. RNAcentral's name for it is "partial large subunit ribosomal RNA". It matches the Rfam family "Eukaryotic large subunit ribosomal RNA", at positions 79 to 1066 of the family's 3401-position model. The record is from RNAcentral. Lineage: Eukaryota; Dinophyceae; Gonyaulacales; Pyrocystaceae.